AGCACUAUACAAAUAGAGGAAGCGGCCCAUUUGAAGAGGCAAAACGAAACGGAUGGCUAUGUUCCCUCCACGACUCCAACUACACUUCAUCUCUGCUGUUUUCUCCAAGUCGUGGUGUCGUAGUUGCUUUAGAAGUACUCAAUCAGAGUUUGAGUAAUUAGUAGAAUGUAAAAGUAGACCCACCGCAGAGCAAUUAGAUUGAUAUUACACAUACUGGAGCAAGUAGAAUUGGAAGAAGGAUUUUGAGUUAUUAGUGUGUUUUGGUAUUGAAGAAAAUGCAGAAUGAUGAGGUAGUGGUAAACGUACACCCAUGAAAGGUAUAUCUUUCUCAGAAACACUAUCAGCCUUUGCAUUUGCAUACACUGGCAUUGGCUGUAACGCGUACAUCAAGCCCACUCAUGCUUACACAAUUAUGGCUAAGAAGACCAAGAGUUCCGACACACCCUCUUCUAAAGAUACUGAGACACCUCCUCCGAGGAUUACAUCAAACUUGAAGCAGAAUUUGCAGUUCCUAAGAUUAUGGAAGGAGUUCCAAAAGAGAAAAUCCAGUACUCCGAAGCCUGCUACUAGUUAUCGUAAGAAGAAGGUGGAGAAGGAAGACCUGCCAGAAGACGAUGAGAUCUAUCGCGAUCCUACUUUGGCACUAUACUAUACAAAUCAGGUAUUAGAUAUUGCAGUUCCCGUCUUGCUUGUUGAUGGAUAUAAUGUGUGUGGAUAUUGGCCAAAGUUGAAGAAGCAUUUUAUGAAUGGAAGUCUUGACAUUGCUCGUCAAAAGCUCAUUGAUGAACUUGUAUCAUUCAGUUUGCUAAGAGAGGUGAAAGUGGUGGUUGUAUUUGAUGCCAUGAUGUCUGGACUACCUACACACAAGGAAAACUUUGAGGGCGUUGAUGUAGUAUACUCAAGUGAAACAUGUGCUGAUGCAUGGAUUGAGAAGGAGGUGGUCGCGUUAAGGGAGGAUGGGUGUCCAAAAGUCUGGGUUGUCACAUCUGAUCAUAAUCAGCAGCAUGCAGCCUAUGGAGCAGGGGCUUUUGUUUGGAGCUGCAAGGCAUUAAUCUCUGAGAUCAAAGCUUCACAUAAGGAGGUUGAGAGAAUGCUGCGGGAACAUAGGCAUUUCUUGUGAUUAGCCUUACAAUCUACUUAAUCUAGUUGAGGUUUGAAGGGACAUUGCUGGAUCCUUCAUCUUUCUUACAGCAUGUAGUUAUCAUUUGCAUUGUGGACAUUUCAAUCUCGUCAACUAUAUAUAACUAUCGCACCUAAGGGUGUGGCCUGGUGGUCAAUGAAGUGGGUUAAGAACCAUGGGGUCUCACGUUCAAAUCCCAACAGACAAAAAUCCAAGGGCGCGCAAGCUGGCCCGGACACCACGGUUAUUUGAAAAAAACUAUGUAUAACUACCCAUUCAGGAUACUCCUUUCCUUUCCAGCUGUCGAAUCAAUUGGUGAAACUAGUAAUGGGAGGCUAUAGUAUGACUAAUAUCUACUUCUAUGCAAGGUAAAUUGUUAAAGCACAACCUCGAUGCAGAAGUUGUGGAUGCUCUCAAGGACCUCAGGGAUCAGCUUUCUCAAAAUGAGACGCGAAGGUGAUAUAGUGUCACGAGAGGCUAUAUCAGAGACGAAACAGAAUUUUAAGUCAAUGGAUGCCUAGUUAUCACUGCACUAACAACUUUGUGACGGUAAUUUUGGGAUCACUAUAAAUACAUGCAUCUUGAAAAAAGUUCCAACCAUGUGCGCAUCUUGGGCUGAUGCUACCUUCAACAUACAUUUGCCUCUUGGGUUAUACCUUCUACCUUGUGACGACAUCAUGGAGAUGCAUACAUUUAAUUAUCUUUCCCAGUUCUUGCUGUCCUUUCCCCCCUAAUUCAACAAUAGUUUCAGAAAAGUUGGAUGUUGUAUUUACAAGUUGUGUCCAUUCUACAUUGUACAGCAUUGUCUGCUUAUAGGGAGUGAGUGAUAUACAAGUUGGAUCAGUUAAUUGUUCUAGCUUUGAUAAUAUUGCAAAUAUAACCUCUUAUGAUGUUGCGUGCA
Molecule: RNA transcript, 2021 nt
Organism: Lycium barbarum (goji berry)
Lineage: Eukaryota; Viridiplantae; Streptophyta; Magnoliopsida; Solanales; Solanaceae
Exons: 12
Source: RefSeq, a predicted model, not a curated record